GCAUUCGUAGCUCAGUUGGUGAGAGCGCCGGGGAGACCCGGAGGUCACCGGUUCGAUUCCGGUCGGGUGCA
RNAcentral lists this transfer RNA (71 nucleotides) under Rhodospirillaceae bacterium. Its description in RNAcentral is "tRNA-OTHER". It matches the Rfam family "tRNA". From Rfam's summary of the family: Transfer RNA (tRNA) molecules are approximately 80 nucleotides in length. Lineage: Bacteria; Pseudomonadati; Pseudomonadota; Alphaproteobacteria; Rhodospirillales; Rhodospirillaceae. The record is from RNAcentral.